Molecule: ribosomal RNA, 490 nt
Filed under: uncultured bacterium
Lineage: Bacteria
Description: bacterial SSU rRNA
Rfam family: Bacterial small subunit ribosomal RNA
Source: RNAcentral
CGAACGCUGGCGGCGUGCCUAAUACAUGCAAGUAGAACGCUGAAGGAGGAGCUUGCUUCUCUGGAUGAGUUGCGAACGGGUGAGUAACGCGUAGGUAACCUGCCUGGUAGCGGGGGAUAACUAUUGGAAACGAUAGCUAAUACCGCAUAAGAGUAGAUGUUGCAUGACAUUUGCUUAAAAGGUGCAAUUGCAUCACUACCAGAUGGACCUGCGUUGUAUUAGCUAGUUGGUGAGGUAACGGCUCACCAAGGCGACGAUACAUAGCCGACCUGAGAGGGUGAUCGGCCACACUGGGACUGAGACACGGCCCAGACUCCUACGGGAGGCAGCAGUAGGGAAUCUUCGGCAAUGGACGGAAGUCUGACCGAGCAACGCCGCGUGAGUGAAGAAGGUUUUCGGAUCGUAAAGCUCUGUUGUAAGAGAAGAACGAGUGUGAGAGUGGAAAGUUCACACUGUGACGGUAUCUUACCAGAAAGGGACGGCUAACUAC